This 253-nucleotide unclassified non-coding RNA is filed under the name uncultured Alphaproteobacteria bacterium. Its description in RNAcentral is "contains 16S-23S intergenic spacer region". It matches the Rfam family "Bacterial small subunit ribosomal RNA", at positions 524 to 776 of the family's 1533-position model. Lineage: Bacteria; Pseudomonadati; Pseudomonadota; Alphaproteobacteria. The record is from RNAcentral.
UACGAAGGGGGCUAGCGUUGCUCGGAAUUACUGGGCGUAAAGCGCACGUAGGCGGAUCGAUAAGUCGGGGGUGAAAUCCUGGAGCUCAACUCCAGAACUGCCUUCGAAACUGCCGGUCUUGAGUUCGGGAGAGGUGAGUGGAACUGCGAGUGUAGAGGUGAAAUUCGUAGAUAUUCGCAAGAACACCAGUGGCGAAGGCGGCUCACUGGCCCGAUACUGACGCUGAGGUGCGAAAGCGUGGGGAGCAAACAGG